Molecule: ribosomal RNA, 718 nt
Filed under: Rhizopus arrhizus
Lineage: Eukaryota; Fungi; Mucoromycota; Mucoromycetes; Mucorales; Rhizopodaceae
Description: eukaryotic LSU rRNA
Rfam family: 5.8S ribosomal RNA (bases 201-354)
Source: RNAcentral
AUCAUUAAUUAUGUUAAAGCGCCUUACCUUAGGGUUUCCUCUGGGGUAAGUGAUUGCUUCUACACUGUGAAAAUUUGGCUGAGAGACUCAGACUGGUCAUGGGUAGACCUAUCUGGGGUUUGAUCGAUGCCACUCCUGGUUUCAGGAGUACCCUUCAUAAUAAACCUAGAAAUUCAGUAUUAUAAAGUUUAAUAAAAAACAACUUUUAACAAUGGAUCUCUUGGUUCUCGCAUCGAUGAAGAACGUAGCAAAGUGCGAUAACUAGUGUGAAUUGCAUAUUCAGUGAAUCAUCGAGUCUUUGAACGCAGCUUGCACUCUAUGGUUUUUCUAUAGAGUACGCCUGCUUCAGUAUCAUCACAAACCCACACAUAACAUUUGUUUAUGUGGUGAUGGGUCGCAUCGCUGUUUUAUUACAGUGAGCACCUAAAAUGUGUGUGAUUUUCUGUCUGGCUUGCUAGGCAGGAAUAUUACGCUGGUCUCAGGAUCUUUUUUUUUGGUUCGCCCAGGAAGUAAAGUACAAGAGUAUAAUCCAGUAACUUUCAAACUAUGAUCUGAAGUCAGGUGGGAUUACCCGCUGAACUUAAGCAUAUCAAUAACCGGAGGAAAAGAAAAUAACAAUGAUUUCCCUAGUAACGGCGAGUGAAGAGGAAAGAGCUCAAAGUUGGAACCUGUUUGGCCUAGCUAAACCGGAUUGUAGACUGUAGAAGUGUUUUCCAGG